RNAcentral lists this ribosomal RNA (750 nucleotides) under uncultured Bacteroidota bacterium. RNAcentral's name for it is "bacterial SSU rRNA". It matches the Rfam family "Bacterial small subunit ribosomal RNA", at positions 31 to 774 of the family's 1533-position model. Lineage: Bacteria; Pseudomonadati; Bacteroidota. The record is from RNAcentral.
GAACGCUAGCGACAGGCCUAACACAUGCAAGUCGAGGGGCAGCGAGCCGUAGCAAUACGGUGUCGGCGACCGGCGAAUGGGUGAGUAACGCGUAUGCAACCUUUCCACAAAACGGGGACAGCCUUCCGAAAGGGAGAUUAAUACCCGAUGGCCUUGCCGGGCCGCAUGAUCUGGCAAGUAAAAAUUUAUUGAUUGUGGGUGGGCAUGCGUCCCAUUAGGCAGUUGGCGGGGUAACGGCCCACCAAACCGACGAUGGGUAGGGGUUCUGAGAGGAAAAUCCCCCACAUUGGAACUGAGACACGGUCCAAACUCCUACGGGAGGCAGCAGUGAGGAAUAUUGGUCAAUGGGCGGAAGCCUGAACCAGCCAAGUCGCGUGCGGGACGAAUGCCCUACGGGUCGUAAACCGCUUUUGUACGGGAAUAAAGUCAUCCACGCGUGGGUGUUUGUAGGUACCGUAAGAAUAAGGAUCGGCUAACUCCGUGCCAGCAGCCGCGGUAAUACGGAGGAUCCGAGCGUUAUCCGGAUUUAUUGGGUUUAAAGGGUGCGCAGGCGGGCUGCUAAGUCUCCGGUGAAAUGUCAGGGCUCAACCUUGGCACUGCCGGAGAUACUGGCGGCCUUGAGAGUGGCGGAGGUUUCCGGAAUGUGUGGUGUAGCGGUGAAAUGCAUAGAUAUCACACAGAACACCGAUUGCGAAGGCAGGAAACCAUACCAUAUCUGACGCUCAGGCACGAAAGCGUGGGGAUCGAACA